This 254-nucleotide ribosomal RNA is filed under the name uncultured bacterium. Its description in RNAcentral is "partial 16S ribosomal RNA". It matches the Rfam family "Bacterial small subunit ribosomal RNA", at positions 524 to 776 of the family's 1533-position model. The record is from RNAcentral.
UACGUAGGUGGCAAGCGUUGUCCGGAUUUAUUGGGUUUAAAGGGUGCGUAGGCGGUUUUGUAAGUCAGUGGUGAAAUACUCUAGCUUAACUAGAGGGGUGCCAAUGAUACUGCGGAACUUGAGUACUGAUGAGGUAGGCGGAAUGGACGGUGUAGCGGUGAAAUGCUUAGAUAUCGUCCAGAACACCGAUAGCGAAGGCAGCUUACUAAGGAGUAACUGACGCUGAGGCACGAAAAGUGUGGGGAUCAAACAGG